CCAUAUAAAUAGUUGGAUUUCAUCCAAUUACUCAACAUGGCUUAUGCACUUUUCAAAAACUUGGCCCUUGCCAAAAAUCCAUUCUCGGGGAUACCCGGUGAAGGCAUCUUACCGAGACCGCCAAGGUUGUUUAUUGUCACACACACAAGCACAUUUCACCUCUGACAACACAACCGUUCCUUGGCGUUGGUUGAGUCCCAGUUUCACAUGGUGGCCAGCGUGAAGUGUACUCAAAUCCUACCUCGGGAGUUAUCCUACGCACCUCUCCAAUCGAGGUAAACUCAAUAAUUGGGAAUCGUGCCCCUCUAAUUAGGCUGACCCACGGAACCCCCGUCACUACAGUGCCCACUUUAUAAUCCACAAACCAAUAAAAUCACAAUAGUAUGACAUGGCUCACUUAACACAUUCAAGGCAAAUCAAAGUAGUUCACAUAUUCUUUAAAUCAUAAAAAUAACCAGUCAUACCCACAUUUAUCAUAAGCCAUUUAAUGUAAAAUCAUGGAUAAACAACACAAUCAUAGUAUAGGUCUCCAAUUACUCUAUUUUUG
This 547-nucleotide long non-coding RNA is filed under the name Theobroma cacao (cacao). Its description in RNAcentral is "long non-coding RNA (TCAC_LNC005365)". The record is from RNAcentral. Lineage: Eukaryota; Viridiplantae; Streptophyta; Magnoliopsida; Malvales; Malvaceae.